RNAcentral lists this ribosomal RNA (539 nucleotides) under Trigonopterus sp. 609 MB-2015. RNAcentral describes it as "partial 16S ribosomal RNA". The record is from RNAcentral. Lineage: Eukaryota; Metazoa; Arthropoda; Insecta; Coleoptera; Curculionidae.
ACCUGGUUUACACCGGUUUAAACUCAGAUCAUGUAAAAUUUCAAAGGUCGAACAGACCUAAUUUAUUAGCUUCUUCACCAAUAAUUUAUUUUAAUCCAACAUCGAGGUCGCAAUCUUUUUUUUCGAUAAGAACUCUAAAAAAAAUCACGCUGUUAUCCCUAAGGUAAUUUAAUCUUUUAAUCUUAAUUCAAGGAUCAAAUACUCAUAAAUAAAUGGCUUAUUGGAAAAAAGUUCUUUUAAUUUUUUUAUCACCCCAAUAAAAUAUUUCUUCAUUAAAAUAAUUAUAAAUCCAACAUUCUAAUUAAUUAGAAAUAUAAAACUCUAUAGGGUCUUCUCGUCUUCUAUAUAUAUUUAAGCUUUUUAACUUAAAAAUAAAGUUCUAAUUAAUUUUUUAUAGAGACAGAAAUUUUCCCAUCAAACCAUUCAUUCCAGCUUUUAAUUAAAAAACUAAUGACUAUGCUACCUUUGCACGGUCAAUAUACCGCGGCCAUUUAACUACUCAUUGGGCAGGUUAGACUUAAAAUUAUUUUCAAUAAGCC